Molecule: long non-coding RNA, 946 nt
Organism: Antechinus flavipes (yellow-footed antechinus)
Lineage: Eukaryota; Metazoa; Chordata; Mammalia; Dasyuromorphia; Dasyuridae
Exons: 2
Source: RefSeq, a predicted model, not a curated record
UGAAGUCCAAAUCCAUUUGGGGUUUUCUUGGCAAAAAUACUGGAUUUCCUUUAUUUGUUUGUUUGUUUAUUCAUUUAUUCGUUUAGUUUUUGCCAUUUCCUUCUUCAGUUCAUUUACAGAUGAGUAAACUGAGGCAAGGAGGGCUAAAUGACUUGCCCAGUGUCACAUAACUAGGAAAUAUCUGAGGCUGGAUUUGAAUUCACUCUUCCUGACUCCAGGCUUUGUGUUCUAUUCACAUGCCACUUACCUACCCAGUUAGUCCCCAUAGCUAGAAUGCUGGGAUGAAACAGGAAGAACUGGCAAUCUUAUAACUCCCAUCUCUCUGUCUCUUGCCUUACUUUAACUGAAUGCAACUGGUGUCCAUUUCUAUGUGUCCUUUAAAAAAUUCAAAUAAACAUAGUAGCUUCUUGGAAUCCUAGGGGAUACUUGGGUGAAAGGUAGACACCCAAAGGGAUAAUCAGACUUGAUCAUCAUAUAGUAUUGUUGUUGAAAUAUAUAUAAUGAUCUCCUGGCCCUGCUCGUUUCACUCAGCAUCAGGUCGUGUAAGUCCCUCCAGGCCUCUCUGAAAUCCUCCUGCUGGUCAUUUCUUACCGAACAAUAAUAUUCCAUAAUAUUCAUAUACCACAAUUUAUUCAGCCAUUCUCCAAUUGAUGGGCAUCUACUCCGGUUCCAGUUUCUUCGGCCUUCAUUUUUGAAGAGGACCGAUGACAUCAGUUAUCGGAGUCAGAAAAGUCAGAAUGACCAGUGAUGGCCCAGGAUGCUUGGAUGACCUUGACAGCUUCACUAGCCGAUCAAGCUCUCGCUGUGGGAACAAAUUGUUCUCAUCUACCCAUUCCACCACAAGGGAAGACACUCCCCUAACUUACCAAUGACUUAGCUACCCUUGACCUGGUUUAGCCUUUCUACAAGGAUUAUUUUUUAUUAAAGCUUUUUAUUUUUCAAAACA